UGGGGAAUUUUGGACAAUGGGGGCAACCCUGAUCCAGCCAUGCCGCGUGAGUGAAGAAGGCCUUCGGGUUGUAAAGCUCUUUCGCAAGGGAAGAAAAAGCAGGCUCUAACAUAGUCUGUUCAUGACGGUACCUUGAUAAGAAGCACCGGCUAACUACGUGCCAGCAGCCGCGGUAAUACGUAGGGUGCGAGCGUUAAUCGGAAUUACUGGGCGUAAAGCGAGCGCAGGCGGUUUUGUAAGCCAGAUGUGAAAUCCCCGGGCUCAACCUGGGAACUGCGUUUGGAACUGCAAGGCUAGAGUGUGUCAGAGGGAGGUAGAAUUCCACGUGUAGCAGUGAAAUGCGUAGAGAUGUGGAGGAAUACCGAUGGCGAAGGCAGCCUCCUGGGAUAACACUGACGCUCAUGCUCGAAAGCGUGGGGAGCAAACA
This 427-nucleotide ribosomal RNA is filed under the name uncultured bacterium. RNAcentral describes it as "bacterial SSU rRNA". It matches the Rfam family "Bacterial small subunit ribosomal RNA", at positions 355 to 774 of the family's 1533-position model. The record is from RNAcentral.